UGGGGAAUAUUGCACAAUGGGCGAAAGCCUGAUGCAGCAACGCCGCGUGAGGGAAGACGGUCUUCGGAUUGUAAACCUUUGUCCUUGGUGACGAAAAGAAUGACGGUAGCCGAGGAGGAAGCCACGGCUAACUACGUGCCAGCAGCCGCGGUAAUACGUAGGUGGCAAGCGUUGUCCGGAAUUACUGGGUGUAAAGGGAGCGCAGGCGGGGGAGCAAGUCAGCUGUGAAAUAUACGGGCUUAACUCGUAGACUGCAGUUGAAACUGUUCUUCUUGAGUGUCGGAGAGGUAGACGGAAUUCCUAGUGUAGCGGUGAAAUGCGUAGAUAUUAGGAGGAACACCAGUGGCGAAGGCGGUCUACUGGACGAUAACUGACGCUGAGGCGCGAAAGCGUGGGGAGCAAACAGGAUUAGAUACCCUGGUAGU
RNAcentral lists this ribosomal RNA (425 nucleotides) under uncultured Oscillospiraceae bacterium. RNAcentral describes it as "bacterial SSU rRNA". It matches the Rfam family "Bacterial small subunit ribosomal RNA", at positions 355 to 794 of the family's 1533-position model. The record is from RNAcentral. Lineage: Bacteria; Bacillati; Bacillota; Clostridia; Eubacteriales; Oscillospiraceae.